Molecule: ribosomal RNA, 253 nt
Filed under: uncultured bacterium
Lineage: Bacteria
Description: partial 16S ribosomal RNA
Rfam family: Bacterial small subunit ribosomal RNA
Source: RNAcentral
UACGUAGGGUGCAAGCGUUAAUCGGAAUUACUGGGCGUAAAGCGUGCGCAGGCGGCUUUGCAAGACAGAUGUGAAAUCCCCGGGCUUAACCUGGGAACUGCAUUUGUGACUGCAGGGCUGGAGUGCGGCAGAGGGGGAUGGAAUUCCACGUGUAGCAGUGAAAUGCGUAGAGAUGUGGAGGAACACCGAUGGCGAAGGCAGCCCCCUGGGCUAACACUGACGCUCAUGCACGAAAGCGUGGGGAGCAAACAGG